Molecule: ribosomal RNA, 669 nt
Filed under: Pseudosperma rimosum
Lineage: Eukaryota; Fungi; Basidiomycota; Agaricomycetes; Agaricales; Inocybaceae
Description: partial 28S ribosomal RNA
Rfam family: Eukaryotic large subunit ribosomal RNA
Source: RNAcentral
UUGACCUCAAAUCAGGUAGGACUACCCGCUGAACUUAAGCAUAUCAAUAAGCGGAGGAAAAGAAACUAACAAGGAUUCCCCUAGUAACUGCGAGUGAAGCGGGAAAAGCUCAAAUUUAAAAUCUGUUGGCAUUGGCUAACUGAGUUGUAAUCUAGAGAAGUGUUACCCGUGCUGGACCAUGUACAAGUCUCCUGGAAUGGGGCAUCACAGAGGGUGAGAAUCCCGUCUUUGACAUGGACUACCAGUGCUUUUGUGGUAUGCUUUCAAAGAGUCGAGUUGUUUGGGAAUGCAGCUCAAAAUGGGUGGUAAAUGCCAUCUAAAGCUAAAUAUUGGCGAGAGACCGAUAGCGAACAAGUACCGUGAGGGAAAGAUGAAAAGAACUUUGGAAAGAGAGUUAAACAGUACGUGAAAUUGCUGAAAGGGAAACGCUUGAAGUCAGUCGCGUUGAUUUGGAAUCAACCCUGCUUUUGCUGGGUGUACUUCCUUGUCAACGGGUCAGCAUCAAUUUUGACUGUUGGAUAAAGUUGUUGGGAAUGUGGCAUCUUUGGAUGUGUUAUAGCCCAAUGAUGCAUACAGCAGUUGGGAUUGAGGAACUCAGCACGCUGAAAGGCCGGGUUUCGACCACGUCCGUGCUUAGGAUGCUGGCAUAAUGGCUUUAAUCGACCCGUC